Molecule: long non-coding RNA, 1539 nt
Organism: Cynocephalus volans (Philippine flying lemur)
Lineage: Eukaryota; Metazoa; Chordata; Mammalia; Dermoptera; Cynocephalidae
Exons: 3
Source: RefSeq, a predicted model, not a curated record
UAGGCGCUGCCCGCCUGUGCGCACUCUCGGCGGCAGGGACAGGAGCAUGUUGAAGAACCCGCGUCAGAACCGCGCGGCUGCAGUCACCCCAGAGCAGGCCGGUAUCGGCGCCCCGGACUUUUUCCGGGUUCCCCCGCCCCAGCUCCCCACCGGCUCCGGAGGCGGCAGCGGCGCGGCCCGAGCGAACGGCAGUGGGGCCAGGUCGGGCGCCGGGCUGGAGCCGAGGCCGCCGCGGACCCCGCAAUCCCGCAGCCGCCAACUGGAGCCCACCUCUGCAGAGACAAAGAUGCCCAAGGAUUCAGCAAACACCAGGGAAACAGAGGAAACAAGCUUGGAUGUGAAAUAGCAACAACUUCUACAUUGAAGAAUAAAACAAUACUUUGAAUUAUACAAACAAAUGGGGCAAUUUGUUGGGCCUUCCAAAGCCCAGAACACUUUACACUGGCCUAUACAUACGGAACUGAGCAAAGAGCUUGUUCAGUUCUAAAAUUUACUGAGAGAUUAAUAGUCAAUUUGCCUCAUUAUCCUCUUCCCCUGUACCCAAAUAAAAGCGGAGCUUUGUGAUCCUCCUUUCAGCUUGGGGAAUGAAGGCUGGGAAGAGACUCUCUGCAAUGAAAAGGCAGCCAUAUUUGCACUUUUUUCUCCUGUGCAAAGCUGCACGAACAGCCUCCAAAGGAAAAUGGAUAUCUUGUUAAUAACAGAUGCCAAACCCCAGCAUCAACGCGAGGUCAGUGGAAUAAGCUGUGUUGUAACCUGGACUCUGGGUCGUCCCCUACUGGGCCUACAACUCGAGUUUUUUGAGAAGUUCACAGUUUUCACAGUAUCUUAGCAGGAUUAUCUACAGCAAGAUGAAGCCUGGCUAGCCUUCUCUGGAAUGAAAGGGGGACACCCCCUCCCCCAUGGCUUUUUUUUUUUCUUUUUUAACAUCGCGGGAUGCGUGUAACCCCCACCUCUUUCUCAUCAAACCGAAGCCUUGAGCGAGUUUUUUUGCCUUCGUGAGCCCAGGCGAUUGUUCUUGCCUCGGGAAAGGGGUAUUUCCGGCGGCGCUCAAAAACACUAGCUCUAGAAAGAGAUUCAUUUCUUUAUUAAGGAGCUAGCUAUGUUCUGGAAUAGUUGUUUACAUUCAGGUUUUUUGCAUUUGCGCUCGGGGCUUGUUUCAAAUAGGUGAAGCCAUCGCAUUCCUGAAGAACAGCAGAGGACGUACCAGCCAACAGCUGAGACGCGCACAGCAAGGUGGCUUACUAUGAGCGAGCGAACAGAGCGAAGGGAAUACAAAUAAAUAUGGCACCUACUCAAAACAACGGAAUCACAGCGGCUGCAGCGGCAUAAGAGACCUAGCGAUUUCAGACGGUUAAAAGCGCGGUUCAAAACGAAAGCGAGCUGAGAAAUGAGAUGCAUUCUACAAAGCGACUUGCCAGAGUGAAAAGUUAAUUGAGUGAAAAUGUUACAAUUGGUUUUUCAAGUAUUCAUUCACUCUAAAUUAUUAAUUGCCAUAAUUUGUAUGGACUAUAGAAAAAAUGAUUAAAUGUGUACUUUGAC